GCCGCCGUAGCGUAGCCUGGUAGCGCACAGGACUGUGGAUCCUGGUGGCCGGGUUCAAAUCCCGGCGGCGGCC
This 73-nucleotide transfer RNA is filed under the name Candidatus Bathyarchaeota archaeon. RNAcentral describes it as "tRNA-His". It matches the Rfam family "tRNA". From Rfam's summary of the family: Transfer RNA (tRNA) molecules are approximately 80 nucleotides in length. Their secondary structure includes four short double-helical elements and three loops (D, anti-codon, and T loops). The record is from RNAcentral. RNAcentral also lists the same sequence under 1 other name. Lineage: Archaea; Thermoproteati; Candidatus Bathyarchaeota.